GAUGAAGAACGCAGCGAAAUGCGAUACUUGGUGUGAAUUGCAGAAUCCCGUGAACCAUCGAGUCUUUGAACGCAAGUUGCGCCUCAAGCCAUUAGGUUGAGGGCACGUCUGCCUGGGCGUCACAUAUCGUUGCCUGAUGCCAGUUUCCUCGUGAUGGGUGACUGUGCAGGGCGAAUGAUGGCUUACCGUGAGCAUUGUUGCCUCAUGGUUGGUUGAAAAUUGAGUCCUUGGUAGGGAGCGCCGUGAUAGAUGGUGGUUGAGUGACGAACGAGACCCAAUCAUGUGAGACCCCUACCGAAUUUGGCCUUCAUGACCCACAUGCGUCUUUGGAACGCUCAUGACGAGACCUCAGGUCAGGCGGGGCUACCCGCUGAGUUUAAGCAUAUCAAUAAGCGGAGGA
This 400-nucleotide unclassified non-coding RNA is filed under the name soil metagenome. RNAcentral's name for it is "partial contains 5.8S ribosomal RNA, internal transcribed spacer 2, and large subunit ribosomal RNA". The stretch from base 1 to 122 matches the Rfam family "5.8S ribosomal RNA", at positions 35 to 154 of the family's 154-position model. The record is from RNAcentral.